Molecule: ribosomal RNA, 149 nt
Organism: Hevea brasiliensis (rubber tree)
Lineage: Eukaryota; Viridiplantae; Streptophyta; Magnoliopsida; Malpighiales; Euphorbiaceae
Product: 5.8S ribosomal RNA
Exons: 1
Source: RefSeq, a predicted model, not a curated record
ACGACUCGGCAGCGGAUAUCGGCUCUGGCAUCGAUGAAGAACGCAGCGAAAUGCGAUAAGUAAUGUGAAUUGCAGAAUCCGCGAACCAUCGAGUCUUUGAGCGCAAGUUGCGCGAAGCCAUCGGCGAGGGCACGUCUGCCUGGGUGUCA